This 498-nucleotide unclassified non-coding RNA is filed under the name Hevea brasiliensis (rubber tree). The record is from RNAcentral. Lineage: Eukaryota; Viridiplantae; Streptophyta; Magnoliopsida; Malpighiales; Euphorbiaceae.
AGGAAAAGACAUACACACAAGUUUAAUAAGCCACUCUCACACGUGCACACAUUAAUAACAGUACUAGUCCAUAUAUAUACAUAUAUGUGUAUACGAGGGAGAUAACCCUAAAGCUGUAGUUAAUCUGAGCUUUUACUUCAUGCAGCAUUAAUAGCAAUCUUCAUUCCAGACUGACAGUGCCCAGAAACGCUGCAUAUGAAGUAGUUUUGUCCCUUCACCAGUUGAAUUUGAUCUUUCCCUGAUUUGUACACUUUUGCACCUGCUGGAGCACUACAGCUGCUGUAACCUCCUCUGUUCACAGCUACCACGUUGUGGGCUGUUGCAUCAUAAUUGAAUACUAGUGUGUCACCAGCUUUAAAGCGUUUGCCUUUGGGCCAACUAUCGACAUUAAAAGUCCAACCACCACUGCCUCCAACAGUGUAAGUUGCUGCAUGAACAUGGUGGGUGAUAGCCAUUAGGCAAACUAGUGCAGCCACAGUGAGUAUGGCUGGACUUGCA